This 372-nucleotide ribosomal RNA is filed under the name uncultured organism. RNAcentral describes it as "bacterial SSU rRNA". It matches the Rfam family "Bacterial small subunit ribosomal RNA", at positions 526 to 896 of the family's 1533-position model. The record is from RNAcentral.
CAGAGACUGCAAGCGUUACUCGGAUUCACGUGGGCGUAAAGGGAGCGCAGGCGGAAUCGUGUGUCGGAUGUGAAACCCGGGGCUCAACUCCCGGACUGCGUCUGAAACUGCGAUUCUAGGGACUCGGAGGGGCUAGUGGAAUUCUUGGUGGAGCAGUGAAAUGCGUAGAUAUCAAGAGGAACACCAACGGCGAAGGCAGCUAGCUGGACGAGAUCCGACGCUCAGGCUCGAAAGUAUGGGGAGCAAAAAGGAUUAGAUACCCUUGUAGUCCAUACUGUAAACGAUGUCGACUAGGUCUUGGGGCAUUCGAACGCCCCAGGGCUCAAGCUAACGCAAUAAGUCGACCGCCUGAGGACUACGGUCGCAAGACUA